AAAAUAUAAAUACGAUACUCUGGAUAACCUCCCGGGUGAAGUGCUCACCGAUAUCCGUGCGCUUGCGGAUCAUUUCCCGAUGGCGUUACCAAAUAUCAACAAGCAUUUCUGGCGCCGUUGCUGGGGAGAAAGACGGUUUGCUGAGAUAACUUUGAGUCUUGCUAUUAUCUUGUAUUAUACUUUUAUUCUUUUAUCUUUUUAUUUUUUCCAUCUUUAUGGAUAACUCAAAUUCCACACCUAUUAUUGAAAUUUUUGCACCUUCGGAGACCAGCUGUAACAUCCACGAUGUUACGGUUACUAAAAUCCGGAUCAUGGCAUCAUCAGCAUUGCACCGCAUAUUUGUUAAGCACACUUUGAUGCAUCACCUUCAAAUAAGUUUAAUUUGGUUGAAUGUGCUUAGGGAAUUAAAGUGUGAUUAUCUUGUGUAUCGAUGCUUGUGUUGGUUGCUAAAACCGUAGGGUGGAAGUUUUCCGAAAGACUAGGG
RNAcentral lists this long non-coding RNA (484 nucleotides) under Sorghum bicolor (sorghum). Its description in RNAcentral is "long non-coding RNA (SBIC_LNC006407)". Lineage: Eukaryota; Viridiplantae; Streptophyta; Magnoliopsida; Poales; Poaceae. The record is from RNAcentral.